AUUGAACGCUGGCGGCAUGCCUUACACAUGCAAGUCGAACGGUAACGGGCUUUCGGGUGCCGACGCGUGGCUGACGGGUGAGUAAUACAUCCGAACGUGCCCGAUCGUGGGGGAUAACGAGGCGACAGCUUUGCUAAUACCACAUCCGAUCUACGGAUGAACGCCGGGGACCGCAAGGGCUUGCUCGGGCGGAGCGGCCGAUGCCGGAUUAGGUAGUUGGUGGGAUAAAAGCUUACCCAGCCGACGAUCUGUAGCUGGACGGAGAGGAGGAUGAGCCACACUGGGACUGAGACACGGCCCAGACUCCUACGGGAGGCAGCAGUGGGGAAUUUUGGACAAUGGGCGCAAGCCUGAUCCAGCCAUGCCGCGUGCAGGAUGAAGGCCUUCGGGUUGUAAACUGCUUUUGUACGGAACGAAAAGCCUUCUUUUAAGACAGGAGGGUCAUGACGGUACCGUAAGAAUAAGCACCGGCUAACUACGUG
This 482-nucleotide ribosomal RNA is filed under the name uncultured bacterium. Its description in RNAcentral is "partial 16S ribosomal RNA". It matches the Rfam family "Bacterial small subunit ribosomal RNA", at positions 30 to 507 of the family's 1533-position model. The record is from RNAcentral.